GCAGUAGCCUAUGCCUAACCCUCAGCUGCUUCAACAACCCGCGCUGGUUUUGUGAAUUUCCGCAGCAAAUCAACCUCUCGAGGAGCGAGAACGAGUCGGAGAAGGUUCUGCGAUGCCUUGUGGACCUUCGAAGCAGAAAAAAGCAAAAUUAGAUGGUGCAACAAAGAAGCCAACCAAGAAAACAGAAGUGGAUGACGACUCGUGGAUG
This is a non-coding RNA of Erythranthe guttata (spotted monkey flower), 208 nucleotides long. The record is from RefSeq and is a predicted model, not a curated record. Lineage: Eukaryota; Viridiplantae; Streptophyta; Magnoliopsida; Lamiales; Phrymaceae.